Molecule: long non-coding RNA, 3857 nt
Organism: Ruditapes philippinarum (Manila clam)
Lineage: Eukaryota; Metazoa; Mollusca; Bivalvia; Venerida; Veneridae
Exons: 4
Source: RefSeq, a predicted model, not a curated record
AAAAAUCAAACCAAAUGUUGACAAUUUAGAUUUCGAGAGAUUGAGACACGACACAGAUCAAGUGGCAAGGUUUUACAACAAAGAAAAAAUUGCAUCCUGGUGGGACAGCUUUUUAUCAGAAUUAGAAGAGGAAGAUGAUGAUGAAUUACCGCCACUGUCAUUAAUUCAAAACCUUAGGGAAAAGAAGUGCGAUGCAAUAGUGCAGGAAGAGCCUGUUGAGCACCUUACUCCAGAAGAUGAGCCCAUUCCACAAGUUGUAAUUGGAAAAAAGACUCAUAUUAUUGAUGAGGAAAUCAAAGAAGGCGACCUGGUUUUGACUGACACACCUCUGUCACCUGAGGACUGGCCUCAAGUAGCCCGUGUUGUUGAAAUUCUGCCGGAGAACAGGUUGAAGUUGCAACCCUACUGGGGAAAAAAGACAACAACCUGGACUCCGGCAUACAGGAAAAACAAGGGCCCAAUUUAUAUCACAGUGAAUAAGAAUGUCAUAUGGCAUCAUGGGUUCAAUUUGACCCAAAGUGGCUAUCUGCCUAAAAAUAUAAAAGAACUCGUAGGAAAGUACGAGGAGGACAACUUAUAAACAUCGUGCUAGUAUUAUAAGGUCCUAUCUCCAUUUUCAUGAAAAUUGUGUAUGAUAUACCACUGGAUUCAGAAUUAAAAGAUCUAUCUCCAGGUGGUUUCCAUUUAUGUAUGAGGUUACCCUGCUUGAUAUAAUAGCAUGUAUAUCAUUUUCCACUGUCGAAAUUAAUAGUGGAAUUAAUUAUUAUGUUGCCCUAUCAUGUCCAUCAGCCAAUCAGUUAUUGUGUGCGAGGUCAUGUGACAGAUUUUGCUUUGUCAAAAAGCAUUGACACCAUUGCUUAAAGUGGCUGCCAUAAGUAAGUUAGUUUUUUAGUAUCAUAUUUGAUAAAUUACUUGGAAAUAUUGCCAGUAAGUCAAAGAAAAACCUUUAAUUCUUUUAAAAGAGAUAAUGCCAUUAUAUAUAGUUACCGCCUUUAAAAUAUAAAUGGUUAUAAACACUACUCCUGGAGAUAGGGCAUUGUAAUUCUAAAGAGAAAAUUUUUUAUUUUGUUUUAAUAUUUUCAAAAACAUGGCAAUAAAUAGAAGGUAGUGUUGUUUAAGGCUAAUGUACUUAUUCUGAAACAUUUUUAAUCAUCUAUUUGAGCUAUCAAAAAAAAUAUUAAUAAAGUAUCGUGAAAAAAGUCGUUAUAAAUUUUAUAAAAUAUAACUUUUGAACAAUGGAUAUAUUCGGAUGUUUGAAUUUCGGAGAUAGUUGUUCUUUCUUGUUUUAAUAUACUGUCGUCUAUAUAACCAACUGUUGUUGUAGUUUAAGAUACUUUAAUUGUUUCAGAGUUCAUUGAAUGUAGAUGUCAGAGCAUAUACUAGUGUUUAUUUUGUGAUUUCUUCCAUUAGAAUGUUUACUUGACAGUGUUUAACCAACAUGUAAAAGAAUCCACAACUGCGUAUUAAAUGUUUCUGCCUUUUAUGAGAAAUUUUGAAUUUUCUUCUCCAUUUAGCCUAAACGAUAGAUGCAUCCACAAUAUUUUCCAAAAUGCUCGUGGGCUUCAACUAUUUUUAUUCCAUGAAUAUUAAUCUUUCCAACAUUUAAACUUUACCAAUGAUUUAAGUUCGCUCAGUCACUGUAUAUCAACAUAUUGGUUAGAUAUUUCAGACAGUCCAAUUUAAUAAUUGUCACAUCUAGAAUAAAACUUAAUGUCUCACAUUGCAGAAAGUUAAACGACUUCGAUUUUCCUGCUAUUAGAUUUUAUCAUCAAAUACUGUCAAUUACCAGUAGAUCUAUAUCUUUUGUCUCAUGCAAAAUCAGGUGAACAAUCAAGUUCCUUUAAAACUUUGUUUUAUGGCAGAAAAUGAGGAUCACAUAUAGUUUAAAGAACUUAUUGAAAAUGCUUACAUUGACUGUUCCUUUCAUAGUUUUCAAAAUGAGUAAAGUUUAUUUCAGCUGAAUGAAGUUUUUGCAAAUCCUCCAAUCUAUUAUUAUGUUUUUGUAGUAUGUGCUGCCUUUUAAAUUGUGACAGGAGUUGUUGCAUUUUUAUUGUACAUUUUGUUAAUCUAUAGAGGUAAUUUUUUUAAACAUUUUGGUCUUUUUAACAGAGAGAGAUAAAAUCAAGAACUUAUUCAAGACAAAGUGACAGAUAUAUAAACAUGUUAAACUUUCCAUUUUAUCAGAGAGUUGAUUUUGUAUUCGGUUUUUGUCUGAAACUAAGUGAAUUAAGUGUUUUUGUUCGUUAACAUUGCAGAAUUUGUUUAGGCUGGAAAAACUAUUGCAUAAUAGAUUAUAGUUAUUUUAUAUAUGUUAAAUAAUAAAGUGAUUGUGUUGAAAUCUUUGGUUUCAGUUUUGUAAAAAAUUCACAUUGCAUGUAAAGUACAAGUAGUUUAUUGCGAUAUAUGUAUAAUAAACAGAAAUGUUCAAGGGGAGUAAUUAAAUUUAGUUAUAUAGAGGAUAUUGAAUGAGUGUAAGUUCAAUACUGAAUUUAUUGCACGAGUUGAAUAAAAUUAUAUUAUGCGAGUCUCUGCGAGUGCAAUAAAUUCAGUAAUGAACUUACGCGAAUUUAAUUUUCUAUUUAUCGCAUACCCAAUAUACAGACCAUUUAAAGUGAAAUAAGAGUCAUUUUUCAUUGACGCGCCUAUAUUCUUGCAUCUCAGACAGCAUUAUCUACCGUUUACACCGGUGCUAGAAAACUCUGUCUUACACCCCUAUGUAAGACAAGUCGCGUGCUUUAAAUGACGUCAUUGACGCGCGCCUUUUAUGAAUGAAUCGCUUUCUUAAGAUGACGUCAUUUUUCAGUUAUGAAUGAAAUUGUAUGUUCAUACGCUACUAUAAGAAAAAAGUGCGUAAUGAGAAUAUCAGUUUUCAUAAUUUCUUUUCCGAAAAUAAUUGACAUGUAAUAUGCAAGAAAAAGAAUCAAACACCGGCUGCCGGUACAGACGGGAAUAUCUAGCUCUCGGGUAACUGUUUAGCGGAAACUCGGCAGAGCCUCGUUACCGCUGUAAACAGUUACCCUCGAGCUAGAUAUUCCGGUCUGUACUGGCAGCCGGUGUAAGAUUCUUAUAGUAUAACGCUAACAUUUAGCGCGUCUUUACAUUAUGUUUGUAUAACGCUAAUGACGUCACGUCAAAAUAUAUGCACGGCCGUGCAAUACCAUUUUUACGGAGUCGCAAAAUCGGCACGGGUGUGUGAUAAAAAGAUUUUUGACAUGUUAUAUGGCCCUGUAUAAACGGCUAUUUUUAAAUAUAACCAGAAUCGCUUUACCCUAUCAAAAGUAUUUUAACGAAUUUAUAUUACAGCAGUUAUAAAGAUUUUUGACAAAUUAUAUGGCCAUAUAUAGAGGAUAUUCAAGUUUUUUCUAUAAAUACAUGAUUUAUUUUCAUCGAGUGGUAUGAAAAUAAAUAUUUCAUGAGUGGCGGUAGCCACGAGUGAAAUAUGGUAAUUUUCAUGCCACAAGAUGAAAAUACAUCAUGUAUUUGUGGAAAAAACUUGAAUUUUCUGUUUAUUAUAUACAUUUUUCUCAUUUUUGACAUUAAAAUUUGAAAGACUUUCCCUUAGAGUUAGUGUACUGGCAGAAUUUAAAAGAAAGUAGUCCGGCAAGACACCAGUGAAAAUACGGAAAAUAUGUUUCACUGCAGUGAAAAAUAAAUUUUUUCAGUGAUAAUACGGAAACUGAAAAUACACAUUUUAUUUCGUCAAUAUUUCUCAAUAUUUCAUUUAAAAGUAUAUAAUAAAUAUCUAUACGGUCCUUUGGUAAUAGAGCCGGAGCCGCUAGGCCAUAUAACUGGUCUGCAAUAUUUAUAACAAAUUUAUAAUAUAUAUAAAAAAUAUAUGGAUAAUGAAUUUCUGGUCA